Molecule: non-coding RNA, 335 nt
Organism: Cherax quadricarinatus
Lineage: Eukaryota; Metazoa; Arthropoda; Malacostraca; Decapoda; Parastacidae
Source: RefSeq, a predicted model, not a curated record
UUCAAAUGAUUAUAUCUGGAAUACACAUUAUAAACCUAUACUCGAAGAUAUGAUAAUGAAAUUUAAGGAAGAAGGUAUUCGAUCAACAAUGGUUGUCAAAGAAGAAAUGAAAAACAUUAACCAAGGUCAAGAAUUAGAAGAUGAUUCGAAGUUAUUGUCUUCUAGAAUUGAAGGAAGUGCUUGGUAUCCCUCAUGAGGUACCGAUGUGACGGGACUUGGAAGAACAAGACUUAGAGAGGAGGAUUUAUGAUGUUUAGAGCGUGUUGUUACACCAAGAUUAAUAUGUUUCAUUCAUUCAUUAAAAAGAGAAAUGUUUAAUAAAAGUUUUUAAGACA